RNAcentral lists this long non-coding RNA (3142 nucleotides) under Homo sapiens (human). Its description in RNAcentral is "HSALNT0257840". Lineage: Eukaryota; Metazoa; Chordata; Mammalia; Primates; Hominidae. The record is from RNAcentral.
AAUCCCAGCACUUUGGGAGGCCGAGGCAGGCAGAUCACGAGGUCAGGAAAUCGAGACCAUCCUGGCUAACACGGUGAAACCCCCGUCUCUACUAAAAAUACAAAAAAUAGCCAGAUGUGGUGGCAGGUGCCUGUAGCCAGCUACUCAGGAGGCUGAAGCAGGAGAAUGGCGUGAACCCAGGAGGCGGAGCUUGCAGUGAACUGAGAUGGCACAACUACACUCAAGCCUGGGUGACAGAGCGAGACUGUUUAUCAGGCCCUCCCGAAGUUGUUGCAUGGAUGCAUCCUUUAAGUCUGCAGAGGUUUCUGCUGCCUUUUGUUCGGCUAUGCCCUGCCCCCAGAGGUGGAGUCUACAGAGGCAGGCAGGCCUCCUUGAGUUGUGGUGGGAUACACCCAGUUCAAGCUCCCAGGCAGCUUUGUUUACCUACUCAAGCCUCAGCAAUGGCAGGUUCCCCUCCCUCAGGCUCGCUGCCGCCUUGCAGUUGGAUCUCAGACUGCUGUGCUAGCAAUGAGAGAGGCUCCGUGGUGCGCAUCCUUAACUUUGGCAAAAUAAAGUUUCUCAAUUGAUUGAGACCUGUCUCAGAUACUUUUUGCUUUACAAGUUGGUAACCAUAGAGGAUUCUGAGUGGAGGUGUCCCUGACCUUUGACAAAUCUAUCAAUGCUUGGUACCAGUUUGAGCUAUCUCCCCACUCCAGAGAAUUUUUGAUUUCCCAAAAUUUGGUCAAGAUCUGAAGUUUAUUUUGCUGUACAACUUCUUUUCUGGAGUUUUACUUGCUUCCAAAAAGGGAAGACAAGUUUUCUGCUUCUGUGACAAAAAAGUGCAGGCAACUACUUCCUGGAAUUUCAGCUCGCUUUCAACAAAGAAGGAUUGCAGUAGAAACCAGCCGAGACAAAAGAUGCCGGAGUUCUUGGAAAAAUGAAGAGAAGAUUUGGACAUGACACAUACAGGGGGAAGCCCACAGGGAGAAGAUGGCUGUCUGCAAUUCAGAAGAGCAGCCUCAGAAGAAACCAACCUGCCAACAUCUUUAUCUGCGACUUGCAGCCUCCAAAACUGGUGUGUGCUGUCAGAGAUGGGCAAGGAUGGGUGCCAGCCAUUGGAGAGCUGUUCCAGGGAGGGAGCCGGACCUUAGCCAGCCCAGGCAGCACCAGAGAAAGACUCAUCCAACACUGAAAUAGACGGCCCCAGUGUGCGCGUUACAAUAGCAGUCGAGAUACUAAGAAAAUGAGACGUGCUUCAUCUACACCACACACAACAGUAACCAGGACAGACUUGGAAAUGACAGUAAAGAACAAAGUCCGUGAGGGCCAACAGCUUGUGGGGAACUUCAGAGACACGCAGCACUCCACAUAGAAAGCACAUUCCACUCCAGUUGUAAGAAGGUUUGAGCCUCCCUGGUAUUUGUUACGUUCUUUUACGCUGACUACAUUUCUGUGUGGUGAGUAAAACCAUUCUCAUUGUGCAGGUGCCAAAGCUGAGGCCAGAGGGAUUAGGAGAUGGUAUAUGUCCAAGGAUAACAUUAAGAUGUUUUAAGUUCAGUUUAUUUUAUUUUAUUUUAUUCUUUAUAGACAGAGUCUUGCUCUGUUGCCCAGGCUGGAGUGUAGUGGCACAAUCACAGCUCACUGCAACCUGGAACUCCUGAACUCAGGCAAACCUUCCUCCUCAGCCUCCUGAGUAGCUAAGGCUACAGGCAUGCACCAACACACCUGGCUAUUUUGUUAUUAUUAUUAUUAUUAUUAUUAUCAUUAUUAUUAUUAUUAUUAUUAUUCGUAGAGACAGGGUCUUGCUAUGUUGACCAGGCUGAUCUUGAACACCUGACCUCAAGCAAUUCUUCCUCCUCGGCCGCCCUAAGUGCUGGGAUUGCAGGCCUGAGCCACCAUGCCAGUCCAUAAAGUUUUAUUUUAAGUCCUUAGAUGUGGGAUUUCCUUUUUAGAGCAGCAAGUACUACCUGAACUAAAACAGGUGGUCUUGCAACUUGCAAUGGAUUAUGGAAAUAGAUGGCAUCUAUAUUGGUGAGGUUCUCACCAAAACUCAAACAGAAUAAAUGUCAUUUGAAGAACAAAUCUCAACUUUAACUUUCUUUCAUCCAUGGGUAAGUGCUACAUUUUUGAAAAAAAUAUGAAUUUAAAUAAAAGUAAUUUAUUGUGGUGAGAAUAUAUAUUACCUGUCACGAAACAUGUCCUUCUGUAUGUUAACUUACCCAGGCAAAUGAAAACUUUAGUAAAAACAUUUAUGUCUAUAUCUGUCUUCUAAACUACACCUGUGUGUGUGUGCAUGUGUGUGUGUGUGUGUGUGUGUUUUUGAGGGGUUCCUACUUUCUGAUGUACAGGACUCUGAGGCCUGAAUAGUUCAUUGCCAUAAACUGAGUUACUUCUUUUGGAAAAACAUAAAUUUUGUUAUUUUAGUCUUCUUUAACUUUCAUGUGUUUGACUUGCCUUAAUUAUAUAUUGGUAGAAUUAAAUGUUUCAUGAUCAGAAUUUGGACUUUUGCACAUGAGUCCACAAGUGUUGGAAGCUUUCUCAGGUGCAGCAAUGCCAAUCUCCAAAAGGUCCAACUCGGUAAGCCAGUGUUUGUGCCACUAUUUAUGUGUUUGUUAUUUUACGCUUCAAAAAAUAAAUUAGAACAGAACAGAAAAAUGAUACUAGUAACAAAGAUGUUUGUCCCAUCACUGUAAUAUAAUUAAGACCGAGAUGGAAUGGAUCAAUGAGCUGCAUGCGUAAGUCUCCAUCUCAAAUAGACUUUCAAAUGGUUGCAUUAUAAAGGAAAAAAAACUAGAUUCAAUGAAAUGUGUUCAAUAUUAUGCAUAAAAGGCACAAUGUAUUCAGAUAUUUUAUACUAGUUUUCGGCUUCUGGCAACAGAGCACAUCCACCCAGCUACCACCACAGCUAAAACUAUAAUACUAUUUGUUUUAUGAUGUCUUUUAUACAUGCUUUCAAGAACACAUUAUAUACAAAAUAGGUGUUUCUAAUGUGCUUCACUUUUCCUGUGGCCUCCCAGAGGCUAAAAGCCACAUUUGUAGCACAGUUUUCAUGACCGUAGAGGCCCUGAAGGCCUGAAUGUCAUCUCUUCCCCACUGUUCACUCCUUUUACUGGUGUUAUACCCCAACUCUAUGGAACACUAUUAAACAUUUUCUUUGGCUCCA